UGGGGAAUAUUGGGCAAUGGGGGCAACCCUGACCCAGCGACGCCGCGUGGGGGAAGACGGCCUUCGGGUUGUAAACCUCUUUUGUACGGGAAGAAGGAAGUGACGGUACUGUACGAAUAAGUCCCGGCUAACUACGUGCCAGCAGCCGCGGUAAUACGUAGGGGACGAGCGUUGUCCGGAAUUACUGGGCGUAAAGGGCGCGCAGGCUGUGCUGCAAGUCAGCUGUUAAAUGUCUGGGCUUAACCCGGGCAUGCGGUUGAGACUGCGGUGCUGGAGUGCUGUAGAGGCAAGUGGAAUUCCCAGUGUAGCGGUGAAAUGCGUAGAUAUUGGGAAGAACACCGGUGGCGAGGGCGACUUGCUGGGCAGCAACUGACGCUGAGGCGCGAA
RNAcentral lists this ribosomal RNA (387 nucleotides) under uncultured bacterium. RNAcentral describes it as "bacterial SSU rRNA". It matches the Rfam family "Bacterial small subunit ribosomal RNA", at positions 355 to 757 of the family's 1533-position model. The record is from RNAcentral.